Molecule: ribosomal RNA, 253 nt
Filed under: uncultured bacterium
Lineage: Bacteria
Description: partial 16S ribosomal RNA
Rfam family: Bacterial small subunit ribosomal RNA
Source: RNAcentral
UACAGAGGUCUCGAGCGUUGUUCGGAUUCAUUGGGCGUAAAGGGCGCGUAGGCGGCGGGGUAAGUCUGGUGUGAAAUCUCGGAGCUCAACUCCGAAAUUGCACUGGAUACUGCUCUGCUAGAGGGCUGGAGAGGAGAUCGGAAUUCACGGUGUAGCAGUGAAAUGCGUAGAUAUCGUGAGGAAGACCAGUGGCGAGGGCGGAUCUCUGGACAGCUCCUGACGCUGAGGCGCGAAGGCUAGGGGAGCAAACGGG